Long non-coding RNA from Solanum verrucosum, 529 nucleotides. RefSeq lists it as uncharacterized. The transcript is spliced from 4 exons. The record is from RefSeq and is a predicted model, not a curated record. NCBI's taxonomy places the organism in Eukaryota, Viridiplantae, Streptophyta, Magnoliopsida, Solanales, Solanaceae.
CUUUUGUGUAAUUCUUUGUUGUUCUUAGUUGGCUUGAAGUGUUAUUUUAUUUUAAUAUUAUAAUUUGCAUGUCUAUUAAAGUCUAAAAAGGCAAAAAAAGUGAUUGAAGUGGCUGAAGAUGCUACGAGAAAUGAAACUAGUCCAUGUGAAUAUGAUAGGACAAACAAGGUGAGGGGAACAAACAUUUGUAAGAAUGUUUUGCGAUUAAGACCUGGAGAAAAGUUAAAAGUCACUUUCUAUCAAAAUCGAGCUGUUGGGCCGAAUUACACCUCAUUUACGAGACACUUGGGUUUGAUAGUUCGUGAUCGUAAUAUGUGCCCAUUACGGGUACACUCAUGGAUGGAUAUUGAAGAGCAUAAAAUUGAGCAUAUGUGGGCAGCUGUUACAGAGUAGACAAGAGUGAUUGGGAAUGGUUGGUCAAGGAACAUUUUUUAUCUGAUAAGUUUAAGAGAUCAAGUACAAGAAACACAAUCAACAGGUCUAAGUUGUGUAUGCGUCAUCGUACGGGUAGCAAGCCUAUAAGAGAGAU